GUGAAAUAUUUCCGCCAUUUAUGGAAUUGGGGGGCAAAUUGAUUAAAACUAAAAGAAACCAAUGUUUCACAAACAAAUAUAUUUGUUUGUCAUUAAAAUGUAUUUUUUAUGUGAAGAAUAUAAAUGGCUUGUAGUUACUUGGGUUACCAAGAAUAUAUCGAUUUCCUGAUUUUGCUUGAGACGGCGUGGUGUUGAUAUCUCCCGGAACAGCAAAGCACUUACCUCUGUCAAGUGCGAUGUAGUCGUGCUACUGCUAGUAAUAGUUGUAGACCUUGGUUGUUUCGCACUUAAAUUUGAAAUUCGUAGGCUGCAGGUGUGCUCUCUUUUCUUUCUUGAAAUACUGUUUAAAAUAUUCAAUAUUAUCAGAGGGAAUCUUAGUUUCACGAAGAGCAUUUUUCUGAAGUCUUAACAGUUAUUCAACCAAACCUGUCUAGUGGUAGCAUCUGAUAUUCAUCUUAUGGGAGGGUUGGAGAUGGAGAAUGAUGAAAGUGAAGAACAGAGUAAACGUCCAGGUACAAGAGUUUUUAAGAAGAGUUCCCCAAAUGGAAAGAUCACAGUGUACCUUGGAAAGAGAGAUUUUGUGGAUCAUAUGACUCAUGUUGACCCAAUAGAUGGUGUUAUCCUAGUGGAUCCAGAGUACAUGAAGGAGCGUAAAGUAUUUGGACAUGUUCUGGCAGCCUUUCGCUAUGGUAGGGAGGAUCUAGAUGUUUUAGGUUUGACCUUCCGGAAAGACUUGUAUUUAGCAUCAGCACAGAUCUAUCCCUUAGAAAUAGCCACUGAAACCAAACAACCCUUGACACGGCUUCAGGAGAGACUCAUAAGGAAACUAGGGCCAAAUUCUUAUCCAUUUUACUUUGAGCUUCCACCUCACUGUCCUGCAUCAGUCACACUCCAGCCAGCACCAGGAGAUACUGGGAAACCAUGUGGAGUGGACUAUGAGUUGAAGGCUUAUGUUGCUGACACUGAAGAAGAAAAACCUCACAAAAGAAACUCUGUAAGGCUGGCUAUUCGUAAGAUUAUGUAUGCACCUAGUAAGCAAGGGGAACAGCCCAGUGUGGAAAUCAGCAAGGAGUUUAUGAUGUCCCCUAACAAACUCCAUCUCGAAGCUUCUCUAGAUAAAGAGUUAUACUACCAUGGAGAAGAGAUAGCAGUUAAUGUGCAUGUUGCAAACAACUCCAACAGAACUGUCAAAAAAAUCAAAGUUUCUGUUCGACAAUUUGCUGACAUAUGUUUGUUUUCCACUGCUCGAUACAAAUGUUCAGUAGCUGAAGUAGAGAGCGAGGAUGGUUGUCCUAUAGGACCUGGAUUUACAUUAUCAAAGGUGUUUUACUUGAAGCCAUUGCUUGCAAACAACAAAGACAAACGAGGCUUAGCUCUUGAUGGUCAGCUGAAACAUGAGGAUACGAAUCUUGCUUCUUCCACAAUAAUUACAGACCCAGACCAAAAAGAAAAUUUGGGAAUCAUUGUCCAGUAUAAAGUGAAGGUGAAGCUAUGCCUGGGCCCACUUGGAGGAGAUGUAAUUGCAGAACUUCCAUUUGUCCUAAUGAAUGCAAAACCUGAGGAGACACAAGACACACUUGUUAAUCCAGUUCAAGGAUCAGAUGAACAUAAUGAUAAAAUGGUUCCUGUUGACACCAAUCUCAUUCAACUGGAAACUGAUCAAACAAGUGGACUAGCAGAUCAGGAUGAUGACAUCAUUUUCGAAGAUUUUGCAAGACUUCGACUGAGAGGAGAAACAGAUGCUUGAAGGCAGUAAACAUUGAUGAAAAGACUUGUUUCUCAAUGUUUUUAAUUACUUAAGGUUUGUAGCAGACAGUGUUAUUUGGGCCAGCUCAUUAAUCUUCAAUAAAUAUUUAACAACAACAGACAGAGAAAUAGUUGUUGGCUAGGUAUGUCUGAUGUUUUUUUAUUGUCACAUUUUCCUGUUUUAUCAGAGACUUCUACUAUGCUAAUGAGAAAUUGAUCCAGCAGUUUUAUUUAAGAUUAAAUUACUGAUUUUGGUGGAGAAACAUGAAUUUUAGAAGGUUAAGAGUAGUAUGAAAUUUUUAAACUAACAGCCGAAGCUAGUUGUUAAAAAAUAGUUCUCGUGCCAGUUAGGCCUUUGCUCAAUAUCUUCCAGUCUUUUGGUAAAGCAGUCUGAUUAUUAGGUAGUAAAACCUUUAAGGAUUAAUGUGUGCUGAAAAGUUUAGUGAAAAGUUUUUUUCCAUAAUUUAACCUUCAAAGCUUAAAGUUGAUUGAAUGAGAAAAUAUGUAUUAUUGAAUUUUGAUUAUUAUUAUUAUUAUGUAUGUAAACUAAAGGAGUUCAGGAUAUUGGUUUGUGUUUAUAACAGUAACCAAAAGAGAACAAUGCAAUGCUUAACUUUAGCUUUAACCUAAGGUUAUUGCAGUUAGUGUAAAUUGGAUUAUAAUCUUUUUUAAGAAGUUAUUGUUUUAGAUGGCUCUCAGCUUUAACUAGGAAGAACUCACUGUUUGUUGGAUUUAUAUUUACAUAAGAAAUGGUUUAUUUUGACAUGUUUAAAACUUUUUAAAGACAUUUAGAAUUGUGUUGGAAAUGUGUUAAGCUUGUGUUGUCCUCAUUUUUUUAUACUUUAUUCACAAAAAUAAUACUGUUAAACAUGUAUGUUUUGGUAAGAAAAACAGGUUUUUUUGUUCUCCAUGUAUUACUAAACAGUUUUGGAUAGAAAAACAGGUUUUUGUUCUCCAUGUAUUACUAAACAGUUUUGGUUAGAAAAACCGGUUUUUGUUCUCCAUGUAUUACUAAACAGUUUUGAUUAGAAAAACAGGUUUUUUGUUCUCCAUGUAUUACUAAACAGUUUUGGUUAGAAAAACAGAUUUUUUGUUCUUGAUCUUAACUGUUUAGUUAAGAUCACAAGAAAAAUAAAUGAAAGUUUAUUUUGUUAUGUAUACCAAUGGAAACAAAAGUAUUUAUGUGUAAAUGACUGGGUUAUUCAUAAGUAAAUAGGAUUAGUGAAGUGUUAAAAUAACAGUUUUUUUUGUCAAAUACAGCUGCAUGGAUUUAGUAAUAUGAGAAUGAGAAUUGUUUCACUUAUUGAUUUUGAGUCUUCAGUUGUUGUUUUGUUGUUUUUUUUUCUGUUUUCCUGAAAUCAUUGAUUUAAAUAGUGAAUUCAUUUCUUAAAGUUUUCUUACAUAGUUGAAAUCGAUCGGUAUAUAUAUAUAAUUUUCUUUAAAAUUAUGCUGAAUUGUUUAACAGGUAAAUUUACUUAUACAAAGUUAAGUUGCUUCAGUUGAUAGGUGUAGAAAACGUGCUUAAAGUUACAAUAACAUAGUUGCAGUCUAUAGUAACUGUCACAGAUGUGCAAGUUGAACCAUACUUUAGGUAGUGCCGGUAUAGUAACUGUCACAAAUGUACAAGUUGAACCAUACUUUAGGUAGUGCCAGUAUCGUAACUGUCACAAGUUGAACCAUACUUUAGGUAGUGCCAGUAUAGUAACUGUCACAAGUUGAACCAUACUUUAGGUAGUGCCGGUAUAGUAACUGUCACAAAUGUACAAGUUGAACCAUACUUUAGGUAGUGCCGGUAUAGUAACUGUCACAAGUUGAACCAUACUUUAGGUAGUGCCAGUAUAGUAACUGUCACAAGUUGAACCAUACUUUAGGUAGUGCCAGUAUAUGCUCUUCUUGUUUUUUAUUUUAUUGUAUUUGAAGCAAUGAAAAAAAAGAUAUUUAAUUUUUGAGUUAUUGAAAUUAAGUUGUGUUUUUUAUUAUUAUUGUAAGUAUAAUCUUCUAUACCUCAAGGGUCAACACUAGUCGUGGUACAACUUUCAGUACACUUUGUGUUGGGUACUUUCAGAUUUAAUUUGAAAAGCUUGAAAAUACUCCCAAACAAGUUGGGUCAGACAAAGAAUGCCAUUUUCUAAACUAACUUGUAUUGGAUCUUUUCUCUUCUUGCUACAUACUAGUCUGCUUAUAUAAGACAAACUGAUACAGUCUAUGUAAAGCAUGCUAUUGUAUAUUAGUUUGAAUAAUGUAAAUAUAUACAUAUACAUAUGUAGACACAAACAAAUAAACAUGCAUAUAUACAUAAAUUUGUAUGUAGAUGGGUACAACAUGUAGUACCUUGCUUAUUGUAUUGUGUUUGCUGCAUUUCAUUAUUUUCUUGAAUCGGAGAAAUAACUAGUUGAAAUGUAGAAUGGAAUUACGAAAUUAUUGGAUGACACAAAAAUUGACUUGUAGGAUAAAAAAAAAAGAAAAAUUGUAGUGGCUGCUUCUUUUGUAUCUUUAAGACGAGCAGUAUAUUAUGAAGUUGAGCUGAGGUCGGCCAAAUGGUUAGUAUGCUGGACUGUGGAUCUGAGGUUCGCACAUCGUUACUGCCAAAAGAAAGAAAUAGUUGCACUCUGGACUUUGGGUCCGUAGGUGCAUUUUAAAAAUGGUGAUCAAAUCCCACUAUUUAUUAGGUGAAGAGUUGGCAGUGGGUGGUGUUGACUAGCUGUUUUCUCUAUUAUCUCUUACUUAAAAGAUUAGAUGACUAAUGCAACUAGACCUCAAAUAGCUUUGCUUGAAAUUCAACAAACAAAGCUAUUAAGUUUUUUUUAUAUUUUAAUUUGUUAAACUUUGUAACUUCUCAGAAAAACAUUUCAUUUUUAUGAUGACAGGCUUCUACUGAAUCUUCUCUAAGAGGAAACAAAAAAUUAGAUUUCUAUUCUUAAUGUAUUCCCAGGAACUUAUCAUUGUUUAGGGGCAUUUCUUUUUUUACUGAUAAAACCAUAAAAAGUGAAAUAUUAAUUACUUAAACAAUGUCUAGAGAGAGAGAGUCUAUGCCUUUUGAUUUUUCUCCAACAAGAAGCACAACUAUGUUGAAAAAAACUAUUAAUUCAAUUUGAAACAUAUUUUUAAAAUAUCUAAGAACUGAAUAAAAUAACCUAAAACUGACCGUUAUCCUUUGAACAAGAAAGAAUGUAUGAACUUUCAAAAAACAUUGGAAUUAUUCACAUGCUGAUUGAAAAACAAAUCUCUGGUAUCAUAAUUGAAAAGCCUACAUAUGCUCAUAACAUUUAAAAAAAAUUAGAAGUCUGAUUAAAUUAAUAUUUGUUAUUCUUCAAUUUUUUAGACUUUGAUAUGUGCAAUGUCUUUAAUUGCCAGUGAAUUUGUUUUACUUUUGGAAACAGUUGCAACUUUGUAAGUAAUACUUUACUAAAUGUAAUUUGUUUUGAAAUGUAUUUAACACUUUUAUGUUUACAAAUUAAACACAUCUUAAUGUCUGUUGUUAAAUGUCAGAGUUAAGAUAAUUGGGGGUUUAUAGCUGAGAUUAUUUGUUUAAAACUCAUUACAGCUGUGUGUUGCAAUGAUUUUAAUUGUUGAAUGGUGCAGUGCAUCGUAAUUUGUUGAGUAAAACUGUAUAUUGUAAUUUUAUGUAUUAAUCAUUAGAACUACGCAUUGCAUUAUCUGUUCAUUAAUUAAACAUAGGAGAACCUUGAAGAUUAUACUGGCUGCAUUAUGUCUAUCAGCAUUUUAACUUUGUUGAUAGUAUAUAAUAAAUAGUUUCUACAUUAAAAGCAAAUGUAUCAGGCUUAUAAUUGUAGAGUUAACUAUCAUUAAUCAUUUUAAAAAGUAACUUUUUCUUCCUGUUUAGCUUUUUGCAACAAAUGCAAUUCUCCAUGUUACUUUAGAUAGAGCUUGUAUUUAGCCAUGGACCUAAUAUCAGUUCAUUUUAUCAAAGUGAGUAGAAUAACACUUUCACUGCUUAAUAGAAUAAAGCAAGUUACAGUGCUUGUAAUCUUGUCUAUGCUGUACUCAGAAUGCUAGUAAUAAGUCAGAAAUAGUAGUAUUUAUAUGUUAAAUGCACUUCCCUAGUCCUCUCCAUACCACUCGAGUCAAGACUGUGAACAUGCUCAUCAUGAAUAUAUCAAGUUACUUAACCCAGGAUUUAAAUAAAUUGUUUUAUAUUUUUCAAAUAUAAUCUCACAAUAUGAUGUAAGGAAAUUGUGUAUUUCACCUAAAAUCAGUUCAUUCUUUAGAAUAUGUGUGCUUAUCUUACUCUAUUAAUUUAUAAUUUUUUUUAUUAGAACUGUAUUCACCAGGCUUGCAAAUUUGUAUCUGGAGCUUUGUAAACUUGCAAGAUAAUUUUUCAGGGCAUUAACUUUUGAUUUGUACAGGGUGUAUUAAAAGAUAUUGUUUCAA
RNAcentral lists this unclassified non-coding RNA (6138 nucleotides) under Limulus polyphemus (Atlantic horseshoe crab). RNAcentral describes it as "beta-arrestin-1-like, transcript variant X1". Lineage: Eukaryota; Metazoa; Arthropoda; Merostomata; Xiphosura; Limulidae. The record is from RNAcentral.